GGCCCGGACAGGGGUACGCCGGCCGGUGGAUGCCUCGGCUUGGGCGCCGACGAAGGACGUGGCAAGCUGCGAUAAGCCCCGGGUACCCGCAGGCAGGGGUAGAUCCGGGGAUCUCCUAAUGGGACAUCCUGCGGCGGGCUUCGGCUCGCCGCGGUCCCGGCCUCGAGCCGGGAUCGGGAACCCCCCGAACGGAAGCAUCCAAGUAGGGGGAGGAGAAGAAAUCAAACGAGAUUCCCCUAGUAGGGGCGACCGAACGGGGAGAAGCCCAAACCGAACCCCCUGGGGAAACUCAGGGGGAAUGUGGGGUUAAGGGCCGGGGGUCCACCCUGAAGCCCGAGCCGAACUCCCCUGGAAUGGGGGGCCACAGAGGGUGACAGCCCCGUAGGCGAAGGGCGGAUGGGUGAUGCCCCGGAUCCCAGAGUACCGCACCUCGGAUAUGGUGCGGGAAGUUGGGGGCCACUGGCCUCCAAGGCUAAAUACGUCCCAAGACCGAUAGCGGACCAGUAGCGUGAGCGAAAGGUGAAAAGUACCCCGAGAGGGGGGUGAAAAGCGCCUGAAACCGGCCGGUAACAGACGAGGGCGGCCCGAAAGGGAAAUCCCCGUCAAGGCCCCGCAAGGGGCCGCGCGGGGACAAUCCCAGGGUCGUCCGCUCCGUCUUGAAACACGGGCCGGGGAGUUCACGGGUGUGGCGAGUCUAAGGGCUGUAAGCCCGGAGGCGUAGGGAAACCGAGCGCCCGCAGCCGGGGUUAGCCCCGGCGAGGGGCGGGGUCCGAAAGGGCCUGUAGCCACGCCCGUGAGGCUAGAAACCGGGCGAUCUAGCCCUGGGCAGGGUGAAGCCGGGGGAAACCCCGGUCGAGGCCCGAAUAGGGGUCCUGACGUGCAAUUCGGUCCCCUGACCUGGGGCUAGGAGUCAAAAGCUAACCGAGCCCGGUGAUAGCUAGUUCCCCCCGAAGUGUCUCGCAGGACAGCCCCGGGGGAGGUUGCCCGCGGGGUAGGGCACUGAUAGGGGAGAAAGGGGCCGAUGAGGCCCCGCUCUCCUUUCAAACUACGAACCCGCGGGCGCCGUAGAUCCCGGGAGUGGGGUACUGGGGGUAAGCUCCAGGACCGAGAGGGGAACAACCCAGACCUCGGGUUAAGGCCCCUAAGUGCCCGCUAAGUGACAAACCGAAGGGCGUCCCCGUCCUGAGACAGCGGGGCCGUAGGCUUAGAAGCAGCCAUCGGCUAAGAAGUGCGUAACAGCUUACCCGCCGAGGACGGGGGCCCCGAAAAUUGACGGGUCUAAGCGGGCCGCCGAAACCCGGGCUCACCCGUGCCUUGCACGGGUGGGGGUAGGGGGGCGUGGCGGCUGGGCAGAAGCGGGGCCGUGAGGUCCCGUGGACCGGCCGCCAAUGCAGAUCCCGGUGGUAGUAGACAGCGAAGAGGGGUGGGAAAGAGAGGGUCAGGGCCGUCCAAUAAUCUUUAAAUAACCAGUCUUAAACAAAUCUACGAAGUAAAGGGCAUGAUUUGUGUAGAUAUUGCCGAAUUGGUUCCCGAAACCUUGAACUUUAGCAAAGUGAUUAGGAAGAUAAUUGAGGACGACAGGAUAAUCAUUCAAUAUAAGUACCGAAACGGCCGGGUGGGAAGCAUCGUUAUCCGACGAUUCGUCCCCGCGAUCUUAUUCGGGUACGCUAUAGGCCUCUACGCAGGUGAAGGAACCAAGAGGCCCAAAACCGUGAAGACGAGGUUCGAAUUCGUUAAUAGCGACCCUAAUAAGCUUCUGGCCAUGGUCAAAUUUUUGGAGAUAUUAGGGGUGACGAGAAGUGCGAUUAAACCUCGAUUGCAAAUUAAACUCGCUAAAUGGGAACGUGACGAGGUCGUACAGAAAUUGGAGAGAUAUUGGUCAAAUCUGCUGAAUAUACCCUUGUCGCAAUUCCGCAAAUCCGUAGUGAGGCGUGGAUCGCGAACAUCACGCUCAAAUUUUGGAACUCUCUCAAUUAGGGUUUACAAUUCCUUCCUCCUUGACUUGUUCACCUUUUGGGAACGGACGGCCCUUCUCCCUCUCCUCGAAUCCCCUCCGCCGGAAGGGCACGGGUUUCCCGGCAAUGCGUCGUCAGCCGGGAGUAAGCCGGUCCUAAGGCCGACCUUAACCGGGUAGGCCGAAGGGGAAGCCGGUUAAGAUUCCGGCGCCUCCCGGGUAGGUGCGGCAACGCAGGCCGGACCCCUGACGCUUCGGGGUAGGCCGACCGGGGCCGUAGCUCCGGCCAAGCGCUGAAGCCCGGGGAGGGCCGUAAUGGCGAGAACCGGGUGAAGGCGUGACGGGGCGGCGCAUGCCGCUUCGGCCGAUCCCUGGAGCCAGUGAAAAGGGGGUCCGGAACGAUCCCGGGAGACCGUACCUAGAUCCGACACUGGUGCCCCUGGCUGAGAAGGCCAAGGCGUCUGGGGUGACUCCGGGCCAGGGAACUCGGCAAAUUGGCCCCGUAACCUCGGGAGAAGGGGUGCCUGCCUUCCUCUCCGACGAGGAGGGGUUGGCAGGUCGCAGUGACAAGGGGGUCCCGACUGUUUAAUAAAAACAUAGGAAGCCGCAAGGCCGAAAGGCUUUGAACGGCUUCUCAAUCCUGGCCAGCACCGGUACCUGAAACCCGGGUCCAACCGGGAUAAGGGCCGGCUAGCGCCGGGGGUAAUCCUGACCCUCUUAAGGUAGCCAAAUGCCUUGUCGGGUGAGUUCCGACGCGCACGAAUGGAUCAACGAGGGCCCCACUGUCCCGGCCCGGAGCCCCGUGAACCCACAUAACGUGGACGAACAGUCCACGGACCCCCAGCGGGGAGAGAAGACCCUGUGGAGCUUUACUGCAGCCUGUCGCUGCGGGAUGGCUCUGGGUGCAUAGCGUAGCCGGGAGCCGUCGAUCCGGGCCUCUCCGGGGGCCCGGGGAGGCGCCAAUGUAACACCGGCCACCUGGGGCUGUCCCGCUAACCGGGGCCUGUGCCCUGGGACAACGGCAGGUGGGCAGUUCGGCUGGGGCGGCACUCCCCCGAAAAGAUAUCGGGGGAGCCCAAAGGUCGGCUCAGGCGGGACAGAAACCCGCUGUAGAGUGCAAGGGCAAAAGCCGGCCUGACAGGACCCUCGAACGCAAGGGGUCCUGAGGGGAAACCCGGGCCUAGCGAUCCAUCGGCCCCUACCAGUGGGGGCCGGUGGUGACAGAAAAGUUACCCCAGGGAUAACAGGCUCGUCGCGGGCGAGAGUCCCCAUCGACCCCGCGGCUUGGUACCUCGAUGUCGGCUCUUCCCAUCCUGGCCUCGCAGCAGGGGCCAAGGGUGAGGCUGCUCGCCUAUCAAAGGGGAACGUGAGCUGGGUUUAGACCGGCGUGAGCCAGGUCGGAUUCUACCUGCUGGGGGUGCGGGCCGCCUGAGGGCAAGGUCCUCCUAGUACGAGAGGAACGGAGGGCCGGGGCCAACGGUGUGCCGGUCGUCCUACAGGGCGACGCCGGGCAGCCGCGCCCCUGGGGAUAAGGGCUGAAAGCAUCUAAGCCCGAAGCCCCUCCCAAAAAUAGGCGGCCAAUCGGGGCCUAUAGGGCCCGGCAACGGGCCUUGGGCCCCGACGAGGGCUCCCCUAGAAGAGGGGGUUGAUGGGGUGGGCGUGUAAGGGCGGAGGCGUAAGCCGGACGCCCUCAGCGCGCCACUCCCAAUCGCCCGAGCUGUCCGGGCG
RNAcentral lists this ribosomal RNA (3682 nucleotides) under Candidatus Calditenuis fumarioli. Its description in RNAcentral is "23S ribosomal RNA". It matches the Rfam family "Archaeal large subunit ribosomal RNA". The record is from RNAcentral. Lineage: Archaea; Thermoproteati; Nitrososphaerota; Candidatus Caldarchaeales; Candidatus Calditenuaceae.